CCGACUGAGACACGGCCUUAACUCCUACGGGAGGCAGCAGUAGGGAAACUUCCACAAUGGACGCAAGUCUGAUGGAGCAACGCCGCGUGAGUGAAGAAGGCUUUCGGGUCGUAAAACUCUGUUGUUGGAGAAGAAUGGUCGGCAGAGUAACUGUUGUCGGCGUGACGGUAUCCAACCAGAAAGCCACGGCUAACUACGUGCCAGCAGCCGCGGUAAUACGUAGGUGGCAAGCGUUAUCCGCAUUUAUUGGGCGUAAAGCGAGCGCAGGUUUUUACGUCUGAUGUGAAAGCCCUCGGCUUAACCGAGGAAGUGCAUCGGAAACUGGGAAACUUGAGUGCAGAAGAGGACAGUGGAACUCCAUGUGUAGCGGUGAAAUGCGUAGAUAUAUGGAAGAACACCAGUGGCGAAGGCGGCUGUCUGGUCUGUAACUGACGCUGAGGCUCGAAAGCAUGGGUAGCGAACAGGAUUAGAUACCCUGGUAGUCCGCCGUAAACGAUGAAUGCUAGGUGUUGGAGGGUUUCCGCCCUUCAGUGCCGCAGCUAACGCAUUAAGCAUUCCGCCUGGGGAGUACGACCGCAAGGUUGAAACUCAAAGGAAUUGACGGGGGCCCGCACAAGCGGUGGAGCAUGUGGUUUAAUUCGAAGCAACGCGAAGAACCUUACCAGGUCUUGACAUCUUUUGAUCACCUGAGAGAUCAGGUUUCCUCGGGGGCAAAAUGACAGGUGGUGCAUGGUUGUCGUCAGCUCGUGUCGUGAGAUGUAGGGUUAAGUCCCGCAACGAGCGCAACCCUUAUGACUAGUUGCCAGCAUUUAGUUGGGCACUCUAGUAAGACUGCCGGUGACAAACCAAAGGUGGGGAUGACGUCAAAUCAUCAUGCCCCUUAUGACCUGGGCUACACACGUGCUAGCAUGGAUGUAACAACGAGUUGCGAGACCGCGAGGUCAAGCUAAUCUCUUAAAGCCAUUCUCAGUUCGGACUGUAGGCUGCAACUCGCCUUCACGAAGUAUCGCUAGUAAUCGCGGAUCACACGCGCGGGGGAAUACCGGGCCUUGUACACACCGCCCGUCACACCAUGAGAGUUUGUAACACCCGAAGCCCGUGGCGUAACCCUUUUAAGGAACGAGCCCUCUAAAGU
RNAcentral lists this ribosomal RNA (1135 nucleotides) under Lacticaseibacillus rhamnosus. RNAcentral describes it as "bacterial SSU rRNA". It matches the Rfam family "Bacterial small subunit ribosomal RNA", at positions 315 to 1463 of the family's 1533-position model. The record is from RNAcentral. Lineage: Bacteria; Bacillati; Bacillota; Bacilli; Lactobacillales; Lactobacillaceae.